RNA transcript from Ricinus communis (castor bean), 1134 nucleotides. RefSeq lists it as uncharacterized. Lineage: Eukaryota; Viridiplantae; Streptophyta; Magnoliopsida; Malpighiales; Euphorbiaceae. The transcript is spliced from 3 exons. The record is from RefSeq and is a predicted model, not a curated record.
UUUUCUUCACAUUUCCACCUACCUUUUCUUUUCAAACAAAAAAACUAUCACAAAAUCUUACAAAACAAAAAAUUUUAUUUGUUGGUGACCGAUUUAUCCAUAAAUAUACUGAUACAUAUAUAUAUAUACUGUAUCCGGAGUCUCGAAUUGGAAUCAAUUAAAAGGCGGAGAAGUUCAUCAUUGCAACGAUGGAUUUUAAGUUUUCAGUGGGAAGAUAAAGAAAGCUGCCUGAUAAAGUUUAUCAUUGGUGCUCGAUUUUCAGACGUGUAUGAAAAUUCCAUGGCAUCACUAUCAACUACAAUAGCUAUAGCUGAGUCAACUCUGCCAUCAGAUCAAAUAGAGAAACUUGGGUCGUUCUAUAAUACUAAUGCGAUUGACAACUUUGUCAAUGGGAAGACGGGUUCGCUGAAGAAUGGUUUCUUGGCCAAUGAGAUUCGUACAGUGUUGCGCUAAGAAUGGGAGGUUGUUUAUCAGCAUUAGGGUGCACAAUGCUAGAUCUUAUUAAGGUAACGAGAAGUAUGCUUCUCAUGGCUAGACUGUUUUAGGACUCCUUGCUGCCUGAGCUGUUAGAGAAAAGGAGGGAUCCUUCCCACGCUGUUCAGUCCUCAUCACCACCCCCAUAAUAAAUACGAGGCAGAUGGGGAGACAUUGGAUUGAAACUACCCAUUUAAGUUUUUAUAGGCUUAUCUUUUAGUAUAUAUUCUGAUUCCAGAUUGUCAUUGUUUUUGCAUCUAAUGAUAUCAAGAAGUGAAGGAAUGGAUGCACCUGCACAGCAAGAUAUGUCAUACUAUGAUCAUGUCAAGAAACGCCAUGCGGAGAAAGGCUGCCUCUAUGCCUUUUUGUUCACCCUGUGCUGUUGUUGUUGCUGCUAUGAGGGCUGUGAGUGCUGUGUGGGAUGCUGCUGCUGCAGUAAUUAAAAUGGAAAGAAGCUGAAGGUUUUUUAGGUUUCAGUAUUGUGAUUGAGUGAAUUGAUAUUGAAGAAUUCCUGUUCAUAAGCUGAUAAUUGUAGAUUGCUUGAAGUGUAUUGUGUCAACUAUGUGAGACAUCAUGUGCUUCUUGCACUAUGUUGAUGUUAUUGUUUGUAAAAUUAAGAAAUCUUUAUGAGAAAGCUGCUUAGUUAUAUUGAUUGAUUCA